GUCCACGCCGUAAACGAUGAAUACUAGGUGUAGGGGUUGUCAUGACUUCUGUGCAGCCGCUAACGCAAUAAGUAUUCCGCCUGGGGAGUACGGUCGCAAGAUUAAAACUCAAAGGAAUUGACGGGGGCCCGCACAAGCAGCGGAGCAUGUGGUUUAAUUCGAAGCAACGCGAAGAACCUUACCUAAACUUGACAUCUCCUGAAUUACUCUUAAUAGAGGAAGCCCUUCGGGGCAGGAAGACAGGUGGUGCAUGGUUGUCGU
RNAcentral lists this ribosomal RNA (261 nucleotides) under uncultured bacterium. RNAcentral's name for it is "partial 16S ribosomal RNA". It matches the Rfam family "Bacterial small subunit ribosomal RNA", at positions 793 to 1055 of the family's 1533-position model. The record is from RNAcentral.